This 324-nucleotide ribosomal RNA is filed under the name uncultured bacterium. RNAcentral describes it as "bacterial SSU rRNA". It matches the Rfam family "Bacterial small subunit ribosomal RNA", at positions 28 to 334 of the family's 1533-position model. The record is from RNAcentral.
GAUGAACGCUGGCGGCGUGCCUAACACAUGCAAGUCGAGCGAAGCGCCUUACUUGAUUUCUUCGGGAUGAAAGUAUUGUGACUGAGCGGCGACGGGUGAAGGUACGCGUGGAUAACCUGCCUCAUACAGGGGGAUAACAGUUAGAAAUGACUGCUAAUACCGCAUAAGACCACAGCACCGCAUGGUGCAGGGGUAAAAACUCCGGUGGUAUGAGAUGGAUCCGCGUCUGAUUAGCUGGUUGGUGAGGUAACGGCCCACCAAGGCAACGAUCGGUAGCCGGACUGAGAGGUUGAACGGCCACAUUGGGACUGAGACACGGCCCAG